UCUUUGGAUUUUAUGGUGGUAGUGCAUGGCCGUUCUUUAUUGGUGGGGCGACCAGUCUGGUUGAUUCUGAUAACGAACGACAUUUCGGUCUGCUAACCAGUGCGAUGACGUGUCUUUACUCAACGGAGGUCCCGUCGUUCAUCGCGUCAUGGUCCGGGUCGGUUUUCACACGCACUGCUUAGAGGGACGGGUGGUAGAAAGUGACACAACCUGGAGGGAUAAUAGGUCUGUGAUGCCCUUAGAUAUCUGGGACCGCGCACGCGCUACACUGGAGGUAUCAGCGAGGACGUCUUCCCUACCCGAGAGGGUUGGGAAACCUCUUAGCCACCACUCGUGAUAGGGACCGGGAGCUGUAACAAAAUUCGUGAACGAGAAAUUCCCGUUAGCCGCGUGUCGAUCACGUUCCUGCCCUUUGUGCACAUCGGCUGUCGCUACUACCGAUCGAAUGGUCCUGUGUGGCCCUCGGAUCCGGUCAACAACGCUUUCGGGCAGUGUGCACUUUCACGUGUGGAGUGGUCGGGUGUCGCGUUGCUGUCGACGUUAGCUGUACGUGUUGUGCUUGUCUCGGCGUUCGAUUCGCGGUCGUUUAGAGGAAGUAAAAAUUCGUAACAAGAUUCCCGUAGGUGAACCUGCUGAAGCAUCAUU
This is a non-coding RNA of Acanthosepion pharaonis, 645 nucleotides long. The record is from the annotation of a GenBank genome assembly. Lineage: Eukaryota; Metazoa; Mollusca; Cephalopoda; Sepiida; Sepiidae.